Schistosoma mansoni is the source of this 45-nucleotide non-coding RNA. Lineage: Eukaryota; Metazoa; Platyhelminthes; Trematoda; Strigeidida; Schistosomatidae. The record is from Rfam.
AUCCAGCUGACGAGUCCCAAAUAGGACGAAACACGAAUCCUGGAU